Molecule: ribosomal RNA, 676 nt
Filed under: Bacillus subtilis
Lineage: Bacteria; Bacillati; Bacillota; Bacilli; Caryophanales; Bacillaceae
Description: bacterial SSU rRNA
Rfam family: Bacterial small subunit ribosomal RNA
Source: RNAcentral
UAUGGGGCGUCCUAAUACAUGCAAGUCGAGCGGACAGAUGGGAGCUUGCUCCCUGAUGUUAGCGGCGGACGGGUGAGUAACACGUGGGUAACCUGCCUGUAAGACUGGGAUAACUCCGGGAAACCGGGGCUAAUACCGGAUGGUUGUUUGAACCGCAUGGUUCAAACAUAAAAGGUGGCUUCGGCUACCACUUACAGAUGGACCCGCGGCGCAUUAGCUAGUUGGUGAGGUAACGGCUCACCAAGGCAACGAUGCGUAGCCGACCUGAGAGGGUGAUCGGCCACACUGGGACUGAGACACGGCCCAGACUCCUACGGGAGGCAGCAGUAGGGAAUCUUCCGCAAUGGACGAAAGUCUGACGGAGCAACGCCGCGUGAGUGAUGAAGGUUUUCGGAUCGUAAAGCUCUGUUGUUAGGGAAGAACAAGUACCGUUCGAAUAGGGCGGUACCUUGACGGUACCUAACCAGAAAGCCACGGCUAACUACGUGCCAGCAGCCGCGGUAAUACGUAGGUGGCAAGCGUUGUCCGGAAUUAUUGGGCGUAAAGGGCUCGCAGGCGGUUUCUUAAGUCUGAUGUGAAAGCCCCCGGCUCAACCGGGGAGGGUCAUUGGAAACUGGGGAACUUGAGUGCAGAAGAGGAGAGUGGAAUUCCACGUGUAGCGGUGAAAUGCGUAGAG